This 749-nucleotide long non-coding RNA is filed under the name Nicotiana benthamiana. RNAcentral describes it as "long non-coding RNA (NBEN_LNC013439)". The record is from RNAcentral. Lineage: Eukaryota; Viridiplantae; Streptophyta; Magnoliopsida; Solanales; Solanaceae.
CAUCCGCAAAUCAGGUACAUGCCGCACAUCCUUUAGAACCAAUGUGCAUCCGACAUUUGUCUUGAUACAAAUGUCACCAAUCCCCGCAAUCUUAGAGUGACUCGUGUUACCCAUUAUCACUGUGCGGAAAUCACCUGCUACAUAUCUGCAAAAAAGAUCUCUUACUGGUGUGGCAUGAUAAGAUGUCGCUGUGUCAACCACACAUUCCGACUCUGGAGCAGACAGGUGCAUGCAUUCCUCUUCCUCAUUUAUAAAGAGGACAACAUUAUCAUUGUUUUGCACACUUACCGGUGUGGCAUGGUAAGAUGCCGAUGUGUCAACCACCCAUUCCGACUCUAGACCUGACCGGGGCAUGCAUUCAUCUUCCUCAUUUUUAAAGAGGACAACAUUAUCAUUGUUUUGCACCAUGGCGGUUGUGUUGUCGUCAUUCUUCUGGCCACUAGUUUCACCUUUGCCCUUCCUUGGAUUUGGGCAGUCUCUUUUGAAGUGAUCUGGUUGAUCACAGUUGUAGCAAUUUCUGGCUUUUGAUUUGGAUCGAUUUUUUGAAUUUCCACGAGCUCCGGAUCUACCAUAGUAGCUCGAACUCCUUUAAUAACUCCUGCCUCUACAUAAGAGCUUGUCCUUGAUUUUCAGGCUUCUUUCUCAUUUUCUCAUUGAGUAAAAGAGCCGAUGUGACAUCUUUCAACUCAAUAGUAGUCUUACCAUGCAGGAUGGUUGUUGCCAAAUUAUCGUACGAAGUGAUCACAGUU